This 440-nucleotide long non-coding RNA is filed under the name Hordeum vulgare. Its description in RNAcentral is "long non-coding RNA (HVUL_LNC021184)". Lineage: Eukaryota; Viridiplantae; Streptophyta; Magnoliopsida; Poales; Poaceae. The record is from RNAcentral.
GAUUGUGUAUUUCCAUAGUUGGUCCAUUUAGGUAGAGUCUUAAUUCCCAGUUAUCUGCUGAGAAAGAUUGGAUUGAAGUACCAAUACUACUUUCCAACAAAGUCGAGCUUCCAUCUAUUAAUUAACAUUUGUAUUUAUUGUUCCAGGUAUCUAGCGCCCAGAAACCUGUAGUCGGCCUUCGGUUAUAUCUUGAGGGUAGGAAGUGCAAUCAGUUGGCCAUCCAUGUCCAGCACCUCUCUAGUGUCCCAAGCAUGCUUGGAGACUCGAUGGCAUCUUCAAUGUCUGAGUGGCNGUACCAAUACUACUUUCCAACAAAGUCGAGCUUCCAUCUAUUAAUUAACAUUUGUAUUUAUUGUUCCAGGUAUCUAGCGCCCAGAAACCUGUAGUCGGCCUUCGGUUAUAUCUUGAGGGUAGGAAGUGCAAUCAGUUGGCCAUCCAUG